This 253-nucleotide ribosomal RNA is filed under the name uncultured bacterium. Its description in RNAcentral is "partial 16S ribosomal RNA". It matches the Rfam family "Bacterial small subunit ribosomal RNA", at positions 524 to 776 of the family's 1533-position model. The record is from RNAcentral.
UACAGAGGGGGCAAGCGUUGUUCGGAAUUACUGGACGUAAAGGGCGCGUAGGCGGCCUUCUAAGUCGAACGUGAAAUCCCCGGGCUCAACCCGGGAACUGCGUCCGAUACUGGAAGGCUUGAAUCCGGGAGAGGGAUGCGGAAUUCCAGGUGUAGCGGUGAAAUGCGUAGAUAUCUGGAGGAACACCGGUGGCGAAGGCGGCAUCCUGGACCGGUAUUGACGCUGAGGCGCGAAAGCUAGGGGAGCAAACGGG